This is a long non-coding RNA of Oncorhynchus kisutch (coho salmon), 1100 nucleotides long. RefSeq lists it as uncharacterized. The record is from RefSeq and is a predicted model, not a curated record. The transcript has 2 exons. Lineage: Eukaryota; Metazoa; Chordata; Actinopteri; Salmoniformes; Salmonidae.
CCUGGUAUAUAUUAUCUACUGGGUCUGGGGGGGUCAUACUGGCCUGGUAUCUAUUAGCCUAUACACACAGCUCUGUAAAUAUGUCAAACAUGUAACAGUUGUGCAAUGCUAUUAAAACCACCCACAUCUCCAUUGGUGGGCUAGUUUGUGUAAUUGUUAUUAAAAAAAUGUUUUUCGCAAAACAGUAGGCUAGCUCUUGUAUGAUAGCCUACAGUCGUCUACUGGCGCAUGUGAUUAAUGAUCACAUCAAUGAUUUCAAUUUCUGUAGCCUAUAUCUUGUUAUAAAUAAAUAGGGCCUACAGUUUAUGCAACAUAAUUUGUCCCACAGAGGUAAAACUCAAAGUCUCAGACAGUCGGAUAACUAAAUUAAAAGACUCGUCAGAUUUUGACAACUGAGAUGUCACUUAAAUGCACUUCCUAUAUCGUUCACGGCAAUAAGAGAAAGUCAGCUGGCUACAUAAAAAAAAAAUAUUACAAAAAAAAGAAGUUCGUGGCAGCUCCAAAUUUGCGAACACAUUCCGACAGUGAAAGUUUUGACGAACUUUUCACGUCAGCAAGGUCAAUUAGAUUUGAAUAGUUUACGAUAUUUUUUUUCAAUUGAAAAUUCCAGCGCUGUCUAUUUAUUUUGAGUUUCAUUCAAUACUUCAAAGGCCUUGAGGUAGGCCGAUAAGCUCCUUCAACGUCGUAUUUAUGGUCGAGACUUGUGUGCAGCGUAUCGUGCCCCCACAGACAGCAACAUACCACGCGCAGGAAAGGAAAAAUAUCAAAAACGCGCAUUACCUCGGUUUCUUUUGAGCGAGAAGAUAAGGGAAGACCAAUGAUUGGAUGGACUGUAAUAACUGAAGAUAAUGCCAGAGGUGCCAUUAACUGACUACGAGAGGAAGCUUUCAGUCUUUGGACCCAAAGUUCGGUGAGGAAGACAACCAUUGUCACAACAUGGACCAAAGGACAUGACUUUACAAGUGCACUCCAGGGUCCGUGUACAUUUCGUUAUUUUGAUUUCCGAGUGGAAAAACAGAAAGCCAAUGUAUUUUCUCAUUUAUUGUGUCAAAGUUGGACAUGGAAUAAUGGAAAACAAAUAACAACAAAAUAUCAUUACA